GCCUGACCUCGGAUCAGACGUGAUUACCCGCUGAAUUUAAGCAUAUUUAUUAAGCGGAGGAAAAGAAACUAACAAGGAUUCCCCUAGUAACGGCGAGUGAACGGGGAAGAGCCCAACACCGAAUCCCUUGGCGCAAGUCAACGGGAAAUGUGGUGUUAAGGUAGCCCUUCGUGUCAGUCUAGGCGUCUCAAGUCCACCUGAUUGUGGCUCAAGCCCAGAGAGGGUGUAAGGCCCGUAGAGACGCUCCGACUGAUUCCUGGGGUUUACCUACGAGUCGGCUUGUUUGGGAAUGCAGGCCAAAGCGGGUGGUAAACUCCAUCCAAGGCUAAAUACUGGCACGAGUCCGAUAGCGGACAAGUACGUGAGGGAAAGUUGAAAAAGAACUUUGAAGAGAGAGUUCAAUAGUACGUGAAACCGCUUAGAGGCAAACGGAUGGUGCUCAUACUGGCCUGAGGAAUUCAACUGUGACGGUGGCUGGACGAGCUGGCGUUCCGAUCUCUCUUUUGGGACGGGCGUCGGUUUGGCUAUCAGCUCCGACAUGGUGGCACUUUCCUUGGUGCCUCCGCCACGACCGACGACACUGGCUACCCGCGGCUGGGGUAAGGUGACAAACUGCUUCGGCAAUUUGUGUUUAUAGACCCCGGCGUCGGACAUGUUUGGCCAGGACGUCGAGCUUGCGGCGCCCGCUCCUUGUGGGCUCGCAUGUUGGCUAGCUUGGCUGCGCCGAUGCUUGCACUGGACAACCAGUACAGGUGACGGUUGUGGUCUUGUCUCUAGUUGGCCUCUGCGAGUUUGGCGCCUAUAGUCUGUGGUGUACUUGUGGGUAGACUAUCCGACCCGUCUUGAAACACGGACCAAGGAGUCUAACAUGUGCGCGAGUCAUGGGGAUUCUACGAAAACCCAAAGGCGCAGUGAAAGUAAAGGCCUGCUUCUCGUAGGCUGAGGUGGGAUCUCGUGCAUCGCGAUUGGCGAGCGCAACCACCGCCCGUCCUAUCUGUCUCUGUCAGUGGGGCGGCGCAAGAGCGUACACGUUGGGACCCGAAAGAUGGUGAACUAUGCUUGCGCAGCUCGAAGUCAGUGGAAACACUGAUGGAGGAGCGCAGCGUUUCUGACGUGCAAAUCGAUCGUCAAACGUGAGUAUAGGCGAAGAGACUAAUCGAACCAUCUAGUAGCUGGUUCCCCUCCGAAGUUUCCCUCAGGAUAGCUGGCACUCGGAAACAGUUUUAUCCGGUAAAGCGAAUGAUUAGAGGCAUUGGGUCGAAACGACCUCGACCUAUUCUCAAACUUUAAAUGGUAAGAUGCUCGUCUCGCUUAAUUGGAGGCGGGCUUCACCUCUCUAUAAAACCGUGAAUGUGAGUGCCCAGUGGGCCAUUUUUGUAAGCAGAACUGGCGCUGUGGGAUGAACCAAACGCGCGGUUAAGGCGCCCAAUGCGGACGCUCAUGAGACACCACAAAAGGUGUUGGUCGAUACUGACAGCAGGACGGUGGCCAUGGAAGUCGGAACCCGCUAAGGAGUGUGUAACAACUCACCUGCCGAAUCAACCAGCCCUGAAAAUGGAUGGCGCUGGAGCGUCGGGCCUAUACCGUGCCGUUGGGGCGAAGCAGACAAAUAAUCUGUGUGGAUGUCCCAACGAGUAGGAGGGUCGCCGUGGUGAGCGCAGAAGGUGCGGCCGUGAGGCCGGCUGGAGCCGCCACGGGCGCAGAUCUUGGUGGUAGUAGCAAUUACUCAAGUGAGAACCUUGAGGACUGAAGUGGAGAAGGGUUCCAUGUGAACAGCAGUUGAACAUGGGUCAGGCGGUCCUAAGCGAUCGGGUAACUCCGUACCUAGACGAGGGUGACAACUAUCACUGAUAAUACUGUGAAGUGUUAUAGCCCUCCGGAGCGAAAGGGAAUCGUGUUAAUAUUCACGACCCUUACCGUGGAGAUCGCCCCUUUCGGGGGGCAAGUGCGGUAACGCAAACGAACACAGAGACGUCGGCUGGAGCCCCGGGAAGAGUUCUCUUUUCUUUGUAAGGAGCGUACCCCCUGGAAUCGGCUUGUCCGGAGAUAGGGGCGUGGCUUCCGUAAAGCAGCGCGGGUCUUGCGCUGUCCGGUGCACUCUAGUCGGCCCUUGAAAAUCUGUGGGAGACAGUGUGAUUUUCACGGUAGGCCGUACCCAUAUCCGCAGCAGGUCUCCAAGGUGAACAGCCUCUAGUCCUAGAACAAUGUAGGUAAGGGAAGUCGGCAAAAUGGAUCCGUAACUUCGGGAAAAGGAUUGGCUCUGAGGGCUGGGUCGGAUGGGCUGGCGUAAGAAGCUGUUCCGGUUUUGGUGAGGACUGGGCGAGGCUUUCGGGCUUUACUCGGACCAUGCCGAGACCAGGCAGUAGACGACGUCAGCUGUGCUUGUCGUGUUUCGGCGCGGCAGCUUCGUCCGGCAACAAACAGCCAACUCAGAACUGGCACGGACUAGGGGAAUCCGACUGUCUAAUUAAAACAAAGCAUUGCGAUGGCUGUUGCUCGGUGUUGACGCAAUGUGAUUUCUGCCCAGUGCUCUGAAUGUCAAAGUGAAGAAAUUCAAUCAAGCGCGGGUAAACGGCGGGAGUGACUACGACUCUCUUAGACGGGCCGCUUGAUGAUGGUGUGCUGGACUGAGAGACAAACCUGAGCGUGGCGUGGGCAGACCAGCCUGCUGUUACUUGGUGGACAUGCAGGUUAGGCCACUGCCACCUCGAGAUGGUGAAACUAUGCUAUGUUGAGGCAGAAGCUUGGCCGAAGCUUGGAUGACUGUUCAGUAAUGGCGGCUGGAUGCCGGGGGGCUCCAGUUCGAAAAAUGGCUCCACUACUGGGGAAACCUGGUAGAGGGUGAACAUUACUGAUCAGGAUUCCGGGCUAAAGCUUUGCUUCUAGUGCGGAUGAUUGUGAGGAUUGUUCUGCCUUCGGAUUGGGUGGCCCCCCGCACCCGGUUCGGUCUGGUGGUUCGAUUCUCACCGGAGGGAUCCUUGCUCCGUAGGUACGCCCUUGGAGUAGGGGGAACUUCGCUCGAAUUGAAACACGGAUCAGGAUCGGGCCUGCACGCGCUAUGGUCGGGUGCGGCUCGAACUCUAACAUACUUUCAUUUAGCUGGUCUCCGCUUAGGCGGGUCCGGGUUUCGAUUCGGAUGUUGAUGAUCGCAGGGUAAAGGCGCGAUGGCAGAGCUGGCUCGUCUUGGCGACGCCGGAGUGCUUAUCCCUGUCUGACAGUGUUGGUGCCUCCAAGUGGCGAGAGUCGGGC
This 3249-nucleotide ribosomal RNA is filed under the name Macrostomum lignano. Its description in RNAcentral is "eukaryotic LSU rRNA". The stretch from base 4 to 2732 matches the Rfam family "Eukaryotic large subunit ribosomal RNA". Lineage: Eukaryota; Metazoa; Platyhelminthes; Macrostomidae. The record is from RNAcentral.